ACACCUAAUGUACCGUAAACCCAUCAAGUACCUAUGUAUGCAUCAGCCAUGUAGAAAUCUCCAUAAGCAAUGCACCAGUGUAUCAGUUAAUAGAUGGUUUCAAAUACCAUAGUCAUUUUUUUGAUAAGUAAAGCAAUUGUAUUAAAAGCACCUAAAGUAUACACGAUGUAUACAAGGCCAAAAAAGGAGGGAUAGACAAAAAACAACGCCCUCGCUUCACUUGCAGCCUAAUCAAUCUAUGAAAUCUAAAAGGAAUAAAGAAGUAAACUCUAUGUGUACCCUAACCCACUCCAAAAACAUGUACAUGAAGGAGCAUAAAAUAGUAUGGUCUGUUAGUUCAGAAUCUUUAAAGGCUCUUUGGUUUCUCUCCUUCCAUAAGGUCCAAAAUAGGCACAAAGGCACAACUUUUCAGGCCUUCUUCUUCUUCUUCCCAACAAAGGCACCCCGCUAACUAAUGAAGGCAUCCUUGAUUGAGAACGACAUCACCCACUAAACAUCAAAUAUAGCCAAAAUAAGGUGCCACAACAUGCUUGCCUUAGGACAAUGAAGGAAAAUAUGGUUUGUUGACUCCUCUUCACCCUUAUAGAAAUAACAUCUAUUUGGAAGACUCCAACCCCUCCUUUUUAGUUAAUCCAAAGUUAGAAUUUUUUCCCAAACUACUUUCCAAGCAAAGGAGAUGACUUUCAUUGACACCCAAGGAUUCCACACCAAGCUUGUGGGGAAACCUUUUGAAUAACAACCUACAAAGGAGGAAUAGAAAGAUUUGACAAAAAAGGUGCCCUCCUUUGACAACCGCCAAACCAUAACAUCCUCUACUCCACUGAUCACAUGCUCUUACAAUCUUCUAAGCAACCCUUCCACCUCACCUAACUCCCAAUCAUUUAUUUGUCUUGUGAACACUGGAUUCCAACAACCAAUCUCCCCAACCUACUCCCACAUUUCAUCUACCUAAGCUUCUUUAUCAAUGGCAAUUGAAAACAAUUCUGGAGAAUUCACAGCUAAAGGUUCCUCCCUACACCACCUAUCUUUCCAAAACCUCACCCUCUUGCCAUCUCCCACCCUAAAGCCAAUCCUAUCAUUAAACCCCUUCCACAUCAAAUCGCCUUCCAAAGACCCACCCCAUAGCCUUUCUUAGAAAUUCUAGAACACCAUUGAUGGGGGAAAGCCUUUUAAAGUUUAUUCAAGGAGGAAGGGGAAGACCUAAGUAAACUUUAAGUAAGAUUAAUAUUAAUUAGAAUUGAAUUAGGAUUAGUAUUUGUUGGAGUCUAAUUAGGAUUACCUAGUUGAGUUAUAAUAUAAUUAGAAUUUGAGUCAUGAUAGGUUAUUAGAGUCUUAGUAGACUUUGGAUAUUAUAAUUAGAAUUACAAUUAUAAUAGGUUAUUAGAGUCCUAGUAGACUUUAGAUUUCUUAGAGAAGCCUAUAUAUAGGCUAAUUAAUGUAAAUCAAAUGGAUGGAUUGAUAUUAAUAAUAUUAUGUUUUCUUUCAUUGCAAGGUUGCAACCCUCAAUGGUGAGACUCCAUUGAUUUUCUUCUAGGUGAGACUCCUAGAAGGCCUUCAUGAGACUCUAAGGCUUUUGAUCUUUUCUUCGUUGUUUUUUUCUUUCUCUCUAUUUCUUAUAUUAUAUUUUUCUCUACCAUAAAAUUUAUUCAUUGUUCCUCUCCUUACACCCUAAAAAUAAAACCCUAGUCCACCUACCCUUGAGAGUAGGCAACCAUCCUAGGGUUGUCCUACAUCAAUUUUGGUAUCAGAGUCAAAGUUCUUGGCUUGAAGGCAUAUGCAAUUAAGGAGCCGAGCAACUUAUGCAAGCAUGAGUUCCAAAAAAACUUUUAGCAAUCAAGAUGCCGCUACAAUACGCUUGGAGGAAAUUUCAGCCACACAACAGUCCCAUCAAGAUGCUAUAAUACAACUAAAUAGCAAACUUGACGAGAUCAUGAAGUUAUUAGAAAAAAGUCAAGAAAAACGACCAAUUGAAGAAGAGAUUGCAAGUCAUCAAUUUAUACAAUCGCCAAGUCGAUCACGCGAAGAACAAAACAAUUUUAUGAUGGGGAAUCAAAGAAGGGCCAAACUUUUUGAGCUAAAUGAUGAUGUGACAAAAAAGGUACAUCUUGAAGUUGCUGAAUUUUAUGGAAAACUAAAUCCAACAGCUUUUCUUGAUUGGAUUAUGUCAAUGGAAGAUUACUUUGAUUGGUAUGCAAUGCCCGAAAAUAGAAAAGUUUGUUUUGUGAAGGCAAAGUUAAAAGGAGCAGCAUGUCUAUGGUAGCAUAAUAUUGAAAAUCAAGUUCAUAGAAUUGGCCAACCACCUAUUGACACCUGGGACGAGAUGAAGUUGAAGAUGAAAGUGCACUUUCUCCCAAUUGAUUAUGAACAACUUAUGUAUACAAAAUUGUUUUUCCUUAAACAAGGUACCAAGUCCGUUGAAGAAUAUACAAAACAAUUCCAUGAAUUGAGCAUUUGAAAUCAAGUACGGGAAAAUGAUGCUCAACUUGCAGCACGCUACAAAGUUGGACUUCGAAUGGAGAUUCAACUUGAGAUGAUAGUUGCACACACUUAUACCGUAGAUGAUGUUUAUCAACUAGCCCUCAAAUUUCGGGUUUCCAAGCAUCCAAGUUCACGAAUUGGGAGCACUUUCUCCAACAGGAAAGCAAGCAAAACUUUAAGCACAUCAAGCUUUAGAACUUCUAAUCACACGAAUGGUGGGGGCAACACUCAACGGACUUCGAAUGUGGCUCACAAGAAUGGUAAUAAGGGUAAAACUUCCAUGAGUAUUAGAGAUAGAAAAGUAAACGUGACUCCUUUAUGCUUUAAGUGUGGUGGGCAUGGUCAUUAUGUUGUUGUGUGCCCAACCAAAGGUUUACACUUUUGUGUUGAAGAACCAGAAUCUGAAUUGGAGAGUUACCCAAAGGAAGAAUAGACCUACAAUAAAGAUGAAGUUAGUGAAAAAUGUGACUACUAUGAUGGUAUGAUGGAAGGACAUAGUCUUAUAGUAUGACCUUUAUUAGUUGUCCCAAAGGUAAAAAGAGAAGAAGAUUAGCGAUGUACUAGCAUUUUCCAGACACGUAUUUCUUACCAAGGGAGAUUAUAUACCAUGAUCAUUGAUGGAGGUAGCAGUUUGAACAUAGCUUUGCAAGAACUUGUUGAGAAGCUAAACCUUAAAACAGAGAGACAUCUAAUCCAUUCAAAGUAGCAUGGGUUAAUGACACCUCUAUCUCGGUAAGUUUUCGUUACUUGGUAACAUUCCUUUUUGGUAAGGACUUUGAAGAGUCUGUAUGGUGUGAGGUCUUACCCAUAAAAGUAAGUCGUAUUUUACUUGGAAGACCUUGGCUUUUUGAUAGAAGAGUUCAACAUAACGGCUAUGAAAACACAUAUGCUCUCAUACACAACGAACGUAAGAAGAUCCUUCGUCCAAUGAAAGAAGUCCCUCCAAUUAAGAAGUCAGAGGAGACACAACCAAAAAAGGUAUUUACUAUGUGUCAAUUUGAAAAGGAGAGCAAGGAAACUAAAGUUAUUUUUGCUUUAAUGGCUUGGGAAGUGGAAGAAUUUAAAGAGCAAGAUAAGGAAUAUCCAAUAAACGUACGUAAAAUCCUUGAUGACUUUUCUAACUUGUGGUCUACAGAGUUACCUAAUCAACUUCCUCCUAUGCGUGACGUACAACAUGCCAUUGAUAUGAUUCCCGGUGCAUCAUUACCAAAUUUACCAGCCUACAGAACGAAUCCAACAGAACAUGUUGAAUUGAAAAGGCAAGUUGAUGAAUUACUUACUAAAGGUUUUAUUCGUGAAAGCCUAAGUCCUUGUGGAGUUCCUGCCCUAUUAACACCAAAUAAGGAUGGGUCAUGACGGAUGUAUGUGGAUAGUCGUGCAAUUAACAAAAUCACAAUCAAGUAUCGAUUUCCAAUUCCAAGACUUGAUGACGUGCUAGAUAUAAUGGUUGGAUCAAUAAUCUUUUCAAAGAUUGAUCUAAGAAGUGGAUAUCAUCAAAUACGUAUUAGACCAGGGGAUGAAUGGAAGACAUCUUUCAAAACUAAGGAGGGAUUGUAUGAGUGGUUAGUCAUGUUGUUUAGACCAACCAAUGCUCCAAGUACCUUCAUACGGGAUAUGAUGCAAGUAUUGAAACCUUUUAUUGGACGGUUUGUUGUUGUUUAUUUUGAUGAUAUUCUAAUCUAUAGUCGAUCUUGUAAAGAUCAUGAGGAAAACUUGAAGCAAGUAAUGCGCACUCUCAGGGCUGAAAAAUUUUACAUUAAUUAAAAAAAUGUACUUUCAUGAGCCCUAGUGUUGUAUUUCUAGGCUUUGUUGUGUCUUCUAAGGGUAUUGAAACAGAUCCAAAGAAGAUCAAAGCUAUUGUUGAUUGGCCAGUACCAACAAAUAUCCAUGAGGUGCGAAGCUUCCAUGGAAUGACUACAUUCUAUCAACGAUUUAUUUGAAAUUUCAGCUCUAUUAUGGCCCCGAUUACUAAAUGCAUGAAACCUAGUUUAUUUAUUUGGACCAAGGCGGCCAACAAGACAUUUAAAGAAAUCAAAUCCAAGAUGGUGAACCCUCCUAUCCUAUGUCUCUACCGAACUUUGAGAAAGCAUUUGAGGUGGCAUGUGAUGCUUCCCAUGUGGGAAUUGGAGCAGUUCUUAGACAAGAGGGACAUCUUGUGGCUUUCUUUAGUGAGAAGCUCAAUGGGGCAAAGAAAAAAAUACUUCACAUAUGAUCUUGAAUUCUAUGCGAUGGUGCAAGCAAUUAGACAUUGGAAACAUUAUCUCAAUUACAAGGAAUUUGUUUUGUAUUCGGAUCAUGAAGCCUUGCAAUAUCUUAAUUCUCAAAAGAAGUUUAACUCUCGACAAGCAAAAUGGAGUAGUUUUCUUCAGCUAUUUACCUUCAAUUUAAAGCAUUGUGCAGGAAUUGAAAAUAAAAUAAUUGAUGCCCUUAGUAGGAAGGCUCUUUUCUUAGUAAACAUGUCAGCCACUACAAUUGGAUUUGAAGAAUUAAAGCAUUGUUAUGACAAUGAUGCUGAUUUUGGAGAUGUUUAUUCCUCUCUUUUGAGUGGUUCAAAAGCAACAUGUAUUGAUUUCCAGAUUUUAGAAGGGUACUUGUUUUAUAAAAAUCGUUUAUGGUUACCAAGGACUUCCCUAUGUGAUCAUGUCAUAUGGGAAUUUCAUGGAGGUGGAAUGGGUGAACAUUUUGGACGAGAUAAGACCAUUUAUUUGGUGGAAGAUCACUUCUUUUGGCCUAGUUUAAAGAAGGAUGUUUGGAAGGUUAUCAAACAAUGUCGAGCAUGUCAAGUAGGAAAAGGUUCAAAGCAAAAUAUAGGGUUAUAUACACCAUUACCAAUUCCAUCCAAACCUUGGGAAGACUUGAGCAUGGAUUUUGUACUUGGAUUACCAAGGACACAAUGGGACUUUGAUUCUAUAUUUGUUGUGGUUGACAAAUUUCCCAAAAUGGCACAUUUUAUCCCAUGUAAGAAGACUUCGAAUGCUUCUCAUGUUGCUGCUACCUUGUUCUUUAAAGAAGUAGUUUGAUUGCAUGGAUUACCACAAUCCAUUGUUUAUGAUCGCAAUGUCAAGUUUAUGAGAUAUUUUUGGAAAACCUUGUGGGCCAAGCUAGGUACUCAAUUAAAAUUUUCAAGUUCUUUUCAUCCUCAAACUGAUGGACAAACAGAAGUUGUCAAUCGCAACCUUGGUAAUCUUUUGAGAUGCAUUGUGAGAGAUCAAUUGAGAAAUUGGGACAAUGUCUUACCACAAGCCGAGUUUGCUUUCAACAGCUCCACUAAUCAUACUACUAGGUACUCACCUUUUGAAGUGGCAUAUGGGCUGAAACCUAAGCAACCUAUUGAUCUUAUAUCAUUACCUACCUAUGUCCGCACCAACCAAGAUGGUGAUGCAUUUGCACGUCAUAUACGAGAUAUACAUGAAAAGGUACAAGAAAAAAUCAAACUCAGCAAUGAGAACUAUAAAGAGGCAGCAAGUGCACAUCGAAGAUAUAUUCAAUUUCAAGAAGGUGAUCUAGUGAUGGUUUGUCUACGUCCAGAAAGAUUUCAUCCGAGCACAUAUCAAAAGCUUCAAGCUAAGAAAACGGGUCCAUUUCGAGUACUAAAGCGGUUGGGUAAGAAUGUUUAUUUGUUAAAGCUCCCUUUAGACUUGCAUAUUAGUCCAAUAUUUAAUGUGGAAGAUAUGUGUAUCUACCAUGGCCAUCACAACGAUGUAAGUGAAGAGUUGGAUCUUCAAUUACCACCUACUCUUAGCCCACGUCCUAAGAUCGAGUAUGUUCUUGAUGAUCAACUUGUGUCUACUCAACAAGGUGGAUACCAAAAGUUUUUGGUGAAAUAGCAAGGCAAACCACACUCUGAAAACACAUGGAUUAUGACAAUGGAUUUUCAGAAGCUUAACCCCGAUCUCAAUGAAUUGUAUCAAUCAUCUAACUCGUCAGAGUUGAGUUCUUUCAAGUUGGGGGGAAUUGAUGGGGGAAAGCCUUUUAAAGUUUAUUCAAGGAAGAAAUGGAAGACCUAAAUAAACUUUAAGUAGGAUUAAUAUUAAAUAGAAUUGAAUUAAGAUUGAUAUUUGUUGGAGUCUAAUUAGGAUUACCUAGUUGAGUUAUAAUUUAGAAUUUGAAUCAUGAUAGGUUAUUAGAGUCCUAGUAGACUUUGGAUGUUAUAAUUAGAAUUAGAAUCAUAAUAGGUUAUUAGAGUCUUAAUAGACUUUGGAUUUCUUAGAGAAACCUAUAAAUAGGCUAAUCAAUGUAAAUCAAAGGGAUGAAUUGAUAUUAAUAAUAUCAUAUUUUCUUUCAUUGCAAGGUUGCAACCUUCAAUGGCGAGACUCCAUUGAUUUUCUUAUAGGUGAGACUCCAUUGAUUUUCUUCUAAGUGAGACUCCUAGAAGGCCUUAGUGAGACUCUAAGGUUUUCGAUCUUUUCUUCGUUGUUUUUUUCUCUCUCUAUUUCUUAUAUUAUAUUUUUCUCUACCAUAAAAUUUAUUCCUUGUUCCUCUCCUUACACCCUAAAAAUAAAACCCUAGCCCACCUACCCUUGAGCAUGGGCAACCAUCCUAGGGUUGUCCUACAUCAACCAUCCCCCCUUUUCCUCAGAUACCAUAGUCAUGAAUUCCACACACUUGCUCACUUUUCUUUAAUAAAUUGCAUUAGGGUGCAUAUAUGAUGCUUUCUUUUAUAAGAGAAUUGCAUCAAAAGUUGCAAAAUCAGAGCAUUCGCAAAGUAUGCAAUAAAGCUCCAAAAGAAAAAGAGAGAGAAACAACUAUAGGAUAGAAAUCAAACGACAGCACAAAACACCUCAUUUAGAAACACAUGGUAUCCCCUAAUCAUCUUGUCAAUAAAAACCAAAAUUGUUCCAUUAGGCUGUGUUAGAAGUUGAUAUCCCCACAAGUGUGUUUCUUUGAGUUUCCACUGAAAUUUGACACCCUCAAAAUUCACAAAACAUCCUCAAUCCACAAAACUUGCAUGGAUUAAAAAAUGGUAUAGAUUUUUUUAUUUAUUUUUCCUUUCCUUCUUUAACAGAAUCACAGUUAAGAAUGAAUUAAAGUUGUUGACCUUCCACCACUUGAAACAUUAUCAUAAUGUUAACUCAUCCAAGCUAAUAGGCAAGGCAUGGUCCAAACUCCAGGCUGAAAGUUUAGACUCACCUAGGAGUCUCAACAACAAUAAGCCUAAAAGUCCUUAUUGCACAGUUUGUAUACAGCAGAGGAAGUUGCACAAAGAAUUCCCAGAUCAAUUUCAUCCUAGCUGUCAAAGUGGAGAGAGAGCAGUGCGCAAAUGAAAAAUGAGAAAGUGAAUGAAAUACUCCACUUAAACAAAAGGAGGCAGUGUGCUACUGUAGUAAGCCACUAGACCAAAGCAUUCUGUUUAUUCUAUAUUAAAGAAGCAUAUAACAUCAGAGUUUAAUGCUCAUCAAAAACUUAAUACCCUAUGCAUGAAAUCAAUUAACUACUCUCAUAUAAACAUAUCGAUGUUGUUGAAUCUAAUUGAAAAUACCAGUUGAUUAACUUCCUAAUUUUUUAG
This 7984-nucleotide long non-coding RNA is filed under the name Vitis vinifera (wine grape). RNAcentral describes it as "long non-coding RNA (VVIN_LNC004828)". The record is from RNAcentral. Lineage: Eukaryota; Viridiplantae; Streptophyta; Magnoliopsida; Vitales; Vitaceae.